Molecule: small nuclear RNA, 191 nt
Filed under: Leptobrachium leishanense (Leishan spiny toad)
Lineage: Eukaryota; Metazoa; Chordata; Amphibia; Anura; Megophryidae
Description: U2 spliceosomal RNA (ENSLLEG00000004719.1)
Rfam family: U2 spliceosomal RNA
About the family: U2 is a small nuclear RNA (snRNA) component of the spliceosome (involved in pre-mRNA splicing). Complementary binding between U2 snRNA (in an area lying towards the 5' end but 3' to hairpin I) and the branchpoint sequence (BPS) of the intron results the bulging out of an unpaired adenosine, on the BPS, which initiates a nucleophilic attack at the intronic 5' splice site, thus starting the first of two transesterification reactions that mediate splicing.
Source: Rfam by way of RNAcentral
AUCGCUUCUCAGCCUUUUGGCUAAGAGCAAGUGUAGUAUCUGCUCUUAUCAGUUUAUAAUCUGAUACGCCCCCUAGCUGUGGGCCAUAAAUUAAAUGGAUUUUUAGAACAGGGAGAUGGAAGGAGAGCUUGCUCUAUCCACUCUACACAUUAACCUGGUAUUGCAGUACCUCCAGGACCGGUGCACCAAAA